RNAcentral lists this ribosomal RNA (445 nucleotides) under uncultured bacterium. RNAcentral describes it as "SSU rRNA". It matches the Rfam family "Bacterial small subunit ribosomal RNA", at positions 26 to 518 of the family's 1533-position model. The record is from RNAcentral.
AGGAUGAACGCUGGCGGUCUGCUUAACACAUGCAAGUCGAACGGAGUAGAAAUACUUAGUGGCGGACGGGUGAGUAACGCGUGAGAAUCUACCUUCAGGACGGAGACAACAGUUGGAAACGACUGCUAACCCCCGAUGUACUGAAAAGGCAAAUAUUUAUAGCCUGAAGAAGAGCUCGCGUCCGAUUAGCUAGUUGGAGAGGUAAAAGCUCACCAAGGCGACGAUCGGUAGCUGGUCUGAGAGGAUGAUCAGCCAGACUGGGACUGAGAACGGCCCAGACUCCUACGGGAGGCAGCAGUCGGGAAUUUUGCCCAAUGGACGAAAGUCUGAGGCAGCAACUCCGCGUGAGGGAUGAAGGCUCUCGGGUCGUAAACCUCUUUUCUCAGGGAAGAUCCAAGACGGUACCUGAGGAAUAAGCGACGGCUAACUACGUGCCAGCAGCCGC